GGUUGAUGUGAACACCUUUGUCGGACAUCCAUGGAUUUUUCGGGAUACAAAUACGGGUGACAAAUUAGUAGUCCAGUUGAAGGAGGUAUAUGAACCAGUGGCUCACUGCUACCAACGUGAUGGCACUUCUCGCAGAGUUGUUAACAUUGUAAUACCAGGUAUAUGUUCUGUUUUAUCUUUUAUCUUGUUUUGGUCAUUAGACUGCAGCCAUGAAGGGGCAUCGCCUUGAAAAAUUUUUAAUCGAAAGAAUCGACCCUUCUACGUUUUUUUAAAGCCAUGUCCUUAUUCUGUCACCAACACCAGCUGUCAAGCAGUGACAGGGGACAAACAAAGGCACAUGCAUAAAUAUAUAUAUAUAUAUAUAUGCACACACACACAAUGUGCUUCUUUCAGUUUCUGUUUACCAAAUUCUUCUACUAUAGCCCCAGGCUAUAGCAGAAGAAUUGUUAUAUAUUGUUAUCUGUGGAGUCAUAUUUUGUAGGAAAAAGAAAUAACGGUCUUUUGGCUGCUAUUUCUAAAUUUUCGGUAUGUGGUGAAGCAACUUGUUGCUAAAUCCUUAAAUAUUGUUAUAAGUAUAUAUAACAUCAUCGUUUAACGUCCGUUUUCCAUGCUAGCAUGGGUUGGACGGUUCGACCGGGGCCUGGGAAGCCAGGAGGCUGCACCAGGCUCCAGUCUGAUCUGGCAGUGUUUCUACAGCUGUAUGCCCUUACUAACACCAAUCACUCUAUACCUAUUUCUUUACUACCCACAAGGGGUUAAACACAGAGGGGAUAAACAAGGACAGACAAACAGAUUAAGUCGAUUACAUCGACCCCAGUGCGUAACUGGUACUUAAUUUAUCGACCCCGAAAGGAUGAAAGGUAAAGUCGACCUCGGCGGAAUUUGAACUCAGAACGUAGAGACAGACGAAAUACUGCUAAGCAUUUCGUCUGGUGUGCUAACGUUUCUGCCAGCUCGCCACCAGCACAGGUGCCAGGGGGUUCUGCAACAGCUAUGAAAGGUUGGUGCUUUUUACGUGCCACCGGCACAGAAGCCAGUCAAGCCGGCGCUGGCAUCAGCCACAUUCGGAUGGUGUUUUUUACAUGCUACUGGCACAGGCAUCACAACUACAAUUUCCAUUUGAUUUUUUGAUGUUGAUGUACUUGACUCAAUAUGUCAUCUCAAGCACAUAUAUAUAUAUAUAUAUCAGCUGUAUGUAUUUCUAACACUACAUUUUUCCAGUGUAUCCUUUCCUAAUUAUUUAACAUGGCAAGAUGUGAUUUGAGGGGAAUUUACUUCCUGUAUCUAGCAGGUGGAACACUUGGGCUAAAGUCUUACCUUGUUGGCAUGAAGUAAAAGCUGUUGCUGUUCUGUGUUCUUAAAUCGGUCAUUGAACAAAAUUCUGAUAAAAUACAUUCAAAUCAUUAGCAUCUGGUCAUUCGUAUAUCAUGAACUCUGCUGUCCAAUAUUGCCUUCAUUUAAACCACCGUGAAAGCUUUGGCUUGUUUUCAACAGGUUAAACAGUGUUGGCCGGUUGAAAUAACAGACACGUUAGUUCAUUACUGCAGUUAAGCAGCCACCUUUAGAGAUGGUGUGAGAUUUACUUAGUUAUAAAGAGUGAUUGAAUGCAAUGUUGUUUUGGUUGUGUAGAUACAUAUCACCUUGGUAGGCAAGGUAGGCAGUGCCUACCCUGAAUGUAAUAGAUCAUUAGUAACAUUUUCCUUUUAUGGCAAAAUAGGCACCUAAUUUAAUAAAAUUAUGAAGGUUACUCUGACUAUUAUGAAUAAAAUGCAAAAUAUUUUAUUUUUUAUAGAUUAGGUGGCAUAAUUCGCCCCUGCUUUUCAGUCUCAGUAUUAAAACUAUGCAUAGUACUGCUGUAGUACACAUGCUGUGUACAUUCCUACAACGUUUUCUUUACAUGCUAUAAAGGCAGAAGUAAAUCUGCCUCCAGCUCAGUCACAUGCCUGUGUUUUGCAUUUUUUUGUGUGUGUGUUUUACUACAUAAACAUCACCAACUGCCUACCCUGAGUAAUUUACUUAUGGAACAUGCCUGAUAUCAACAUUUUAACAUCAUUUACUAUCAUUUUCAUUUUACAUCAGUUGUCAAGCGAUGUUGGGGAGACAAACACAGAUACACAUACAUAUACACACAUAUAUAUGUACAUAUAUACGACGGGCUUCUUUCAGUUUCUGUCUAGCAAAUCCACUCACAAGGCUUUGGUCGGCCCGAGGCUAUAGUAGAAGACACUUGCCCAAGGUGCCACGCAGUUGGGAAUGAACCUAGAACCAUGUGGCUGGUAAGCAAGCUACUUACCACACAGCCACUCCUGUGCCUAUGUAUAAAAUAAUUAUCAUUUAGUCUAAUCAAAUCCUUUUCAUUCCCCCUCACCACUUGCCAAAAGUAUUGUGAGCUUACAUUUUUUUUAGAAAUCACAGUUAUUAGUAUUAGCACUGAGGUAGUGAAUGUUAGAAACCAAGUAGUGUGUUGCAGCCAAAUAACUUGCAGUAUUUAGUUAUGUCCCUUUACAUUGUCAUUUGAAAUUCUUUUGCUGAUAAGCUUUGCUUUUCAUCUUUCAGAAGUUUAUAAAAUAAAUGUCUAUUAUGGACGUGUGUCAUUACAAAUGACUGAUUACUUCCAGGAAGUUUGUGGCCUUGUGUCAGUGUUAGAAGAAAAAAAAAAAAAAUAAUAAUAAUAAUAAUAAUAAUCAUCGUUUAGCGUCCACUUUCCAUGCUAGCAUGGGUUGGCCGGUUCAACUGGCGUCUGGGAAGCCAGAAGGCUGCACCAGGCCCAGUCUGAUCUGGCAAUGUUUCUAUGGCUGGAUGCAACAUUUCACCUGUAUUAGCACCUGUGGUAUUCAAGUAUAUAAAAAGGCGGCGAGCUGGCAGAAACGUUAGCACACCGGGCGAAAUGCUUUGCGGUUUUUCGUCUGCUGUUACAUUCUGAGUUCAAAUUCCGCCGAGGUCGACUUUGCCUUUCAUCCUUUCGGGGUCGAUAAAUUAAAGUACCAGUUAUGCACUGGGGUCGAUGUAAUCGACUUAAUACCUAUGUCUGUCCUUGUUUGUCCUCUCUAUUUUUAGCCCCUUGUGGGUAAUAAAGAAAUAGGUAUUCAAGUAUAUUUGAUUAAUAUUUUUUUUCUCUCUCUCUCUCCCUUUCAGUUUACAACCUAAAAGAAUGCUGCCUGCAAAAAUUAAGGGCCAUCAUUCCAUGUAAUCAAAUUGAUGAUUUGGAACUACCAAAAAGCCUAAUAGGAGAACUGAAAAAGUAUUUUCACAAGAGCUCAUAUCUUGGCAAACCUGUUUCCGUAUCUAAGAGUUGAGGUAUACCAGUACAACAGUAUGGUUGGUUUGUGAUAAAACCUUGCUAAUUGUGUAUAUGCACAUUUCUAGACAUGGAUCAAUAAGUUCAUUUUGUCUAUCGUGUAUGUGUGCGUGCAUGUGCUUAUAUGUAUAUAUGUACACCUCCUCAACUUCAACCUAUGCAACUUACGACCAUCUGCACUUAUGACCACGAAAAAUAAGGAAAUGAAAAAAUCAAUUAAUUAAUAAAAAAUCAAUUUUUGGACAUUGGGCGGCUGUGCAUACUAUAAACUAUGACAGCAUCUGGCAACACUGGACUCCCUCAGACCUUGACAUCCACUGACCGCGGCUGUGUCUCACUCAGUUGCUUUCAAGCAUCAAGUUGCGUUUGAAUGAAAAUGAUGUUGAUAAAAUAUAAAUCCGACAUACAUCCAGAUCAACUUACGACCUGUCACUUGGAACAGAACUCGGUCAUACGCCGAGGAGGUGUAUAUGAAAUGUGUGUGUACAUAUGGUUGACAGUCUGAACAAAAAUCAAACACUCAGUAUAAUGUAGAGUAUGAAAUAUCUGAGGAAAUAGACAGAGGUUAACUGUUCAUUGACUGACUAUGAGUUUCACAACAAAUUUAUGGCCAUAGAGCAGAAGCCCUACCUACUAACACAAACUAAUAAUCUUGUUCUUGUUGGUAAAAACAUAAUGGUACUGAGGAACAGAAAUACUAUGAUUAUGAAUAACAAUAUUUCUUCCAGUGAAGUUAAGAGUCUGUUGAUGAACAAACAGUUUGUAUGUAUAUCUAUUAUGUGCGUAAGUGGAGAGAGAAAGAAAUUAUUAUAUAGACAUAUGCAUACAAACAUAUGUUUAUAUAUUUAUAUUUGUAUAUAUAUAUAUAUAUAUAUUACAUGUAUGUGUAAUAUAUAUAGAUUCAGAUGAAUAUGGUACCUAAGUUGAGGCACCAGAAUUUCGUACAGUAUUACUCUGCAUUUAAAUUGAUGUAAUGAUUGCAUUGUUCAAUUAAAUGGAGUUGCAUGAAACGAUUGUACCGCAUUACCUCUGGAUAUCCUUAUUGCUUAUUUUGAUUUUAUAUAUAUAAUAUUAUAUAUAUAUAUAUAUAUAUAUAUAUAUAUAUAUGUGUGUGUGUGUGUGUGUGUGUGUGUGUGUGUGUGUAUAUAUAUAUAUAUAUAUAUAUAUGCACACACACUUAUAUGUAUAAAUACAUACCAGAACAAUUAUACUCAAAAAUAUAUAUUUAUAUUUCUCAUGCUCUUUAUAUAUAUAUAUAUAUAUAUGUGUGUAAUACACACUGAACAUCUUAUAUAUUGAAAUAAACAAUUUAUCUCUAUGUUUUAUGGAACACAAAUUU
Molecule: long non-coding RNA, 4637 nt
Filed under: Octopus vulgaris (common octopus)
Lineage: Eukaryota; Metazoa; Mollusca; Cephalopoda; Octopoda; Octopodidae
Source: RNAcentral